AGCAACUGUGAAAGCACCACUCCAAUCGAUCCUUCUUCCGUUGUCCCUACUAAACCUCCUGAACUCAUCCCAGCUGAUCCUCCUGCACCUGCACCAAGUAGUGCAAACAACGUUCGUACACCAGACACAAACAAUAAGAAAGACAAUAUGCCAACAAACUAUAUUAGCUCUUACACUCUAAGGAAUAAUGUGACAAGACGUGUGCAGGCAAGGGGCAACAAAAGAAGCGAAUGUGUACAAUCCGCAAGUGCAAGCGAGAAGCAAGGUAGAUCAACUUAAGAAGCUCUAUCAAAGUGUGUUUAAGGUUCCUUGUCGUCGUGAUAUCGUCGUCAGCCUAGCUAACCAUCGCUUGCAUCAAUGGAGGGGAUGGAGGGGUACACGAUG
Molecule: long non-coding RNA, 384 nt
Organism: Zea mays
Lineage: Eukaryota; Viridiplantae; Streptophyta; Magnoliopsida; Poales; Poaceae
Exons: 3
Source: RefSeq, a predicted model, not a curated record